CCCAGGCAGAAUCUUUUAGGAACACUGUGUUCUGAAAUAGGGAGACACACCUGGAAUUGAGCAGACCAGGUUGCUGUAGCCCGUUUCUAACGUUAAGAUGGAAGUCCCAAAGUAAAGAGGAGAACGGGUUUUUGGUCAUUUUAAGCUACCUUCCCAGGAUAAAGACAUCAUGAUUAAACCAAAAUACGAGGAAGCCUGCAGCAUUACUAUGUGCUCGAGGAGAUAAGUGAAUUCUCUGACACAUUUAUGCAAAUUACAUUCUUAGUAUGACUAUAGUUUCUUAGUCUGUCCUAAAACACAGUGUGCCUUCGUCUGUCAGUAUUCAUACCUGUUUUUUUCCACUCAUGCACAUCUAUUUUUAUUGUUGUAAUCCAGCAGAAAACACCAGCAUUUGCUAUCCAGUGGUGCAUGGUAAGUGACCCUCUUUAUUUCGCAUUUCUCUAAAAUCUGGAAGAAUAUGAACUUCAGUCUAAGAGCAGCAUCUUCUGAUGUGCAAAGAUACGAUUAUAGCCAAGAGCUCCAUAAAGGAUCACUGUUCCUCUUGCACUCUUCUACACUUGAAGCUGAAGGACACCAUUUCCCUUCUGAAAUGAGGGGGGUAACAAUUACUGGGUUACUGCACUUUGGGUAAGAAUUGUCUGUGGAAGCUCUUCUCAGUUUGUGUCUGUACCCUGCUGUGUGGUGAUGCCAAACAUUAGGGUACGUAGAAGCAAAUACACCUUCCUCUCUUGGAGAUGUCAAGAGCUGAGCAGGAGCACUGGCAAGGGCACAAAGCAAAUGGAUGCCAGAUAUCACUGCUACUUUUUGCAUGGCAUGAAUGAGGAGAGAAGCCACCAACACAUCUACUGCUGUAGUUGGCCUAUGGUUUGUUUUACAUCAAGCUUCUGUGUUGGUGAUAAUGAUAGCAACUCGAGAGAUGGACACGUCCCUGGAAGGGAAGAAAGGAAGAAAAACCUGACCUGGCCUUUGAUAGAAGGAAAAUCCCGCAAUGCAUCCUUUGGAAGUGGCAGAUCUUGCAAUGCCUACACAACACAGAGGAAAACCAAGCGCUGCGUAUGAAGAGUUGGCGGUUGCGAGCUGGGGAGCGAUACCCCGAGCGGGGAGGGAGCCUGCUUCCAAAUGAAGGGAGCAUUUACACUGCGCCUUCGGGCUUCGGUUCGGCACGGAGAGCGCAGAUUCAAGCAGCAAACUCCACACCAGCAGCGCUACCCCGAAUGAGAAGGCAGAGGAAAUAUUCCCCCUUGCGACGCUGGGUGGGGGUGUUGGCCACGGACCGGGAGGUUUCUCUGCCCGCACCGGAUCUGCAGGCACAGGGAGACAAAAAAACCGUGUGAGCUGCUCGGGAAGGGUGGCGGUGCACGGAGCCGGGACGGCUUUCGGACCCCUUACCCCAGGAUUCCUGACAAACAUCGCUCU
This 1416-nucleotide long non-coding RNA is filed under the name Otus sunia (Oriental scops-owl). Its description in RNAcentral is "lncRNA (ENSOSUG00000005142.1)". The record is from RNAcentral. Lineage: Eukaryota; Metazoa; Chordata; Aves; Strigiformes; Strigidae.